RNAcentral lists this long non-coding RNA (906 nucleotides) under Medicago truncatula (barrel medic). RNAcentral's name for it is "long non-coding RNA (MTRU_LNC004934)". The record is from RNAcentral. Lineage: Eukaryota; Viridiplantae; Streptophyta; Magnoliopsida; Fabales; Fabaceae.
GGACCGUUAGAUCUUCACAUUCUUGCUCAUGAUCUUCAUAAAAUAAUACAAAAGAUAUGAAAUACCUAAAAUACCCCUAAUGCCAAAUUAAAAUUCUCAAUUCCUUUUCUCCUAUUCUUCUCCAGCGAGCAUCUUGCCUUCAUCAUCAUCUUAAUUAUUUCAAUCAUUCAACUAUUAACUAAAAACAAUAAAUUCUAAAAUCAAAAAUUAUUAAACUCUUCUCAAUUCUUCCACCAUACUCGGAUUAAGAAAUUCAAUUUCAAUUUCCUUCAUCAACAAAACUUAAUCCCAAUUCAACUCAAUUCGUUUCAAUCCCAGCAACAAAAACCACUAAUUCCCCUAAUUUCUAAAAUACCCUAAUUUUCAAACUGCUGGGAAGAGAUGAAGACAGAGUAGUCGUGAGAGAGAUGGAGGGAUUUGAUGUGUUAGUACAAGGACGAGGAUGCGGUGACCGAUGCAUCGACGUGGUGGUGGUGGUGGUGGCGGUGGCGGUGAAUGGGUUUGAAAGAAGAGAAAGUUGUGUGCGGCGGCGUUCUCGUCGGAUAUGGUGGUGACAGAUCCGUGGUGGUCGAAUCAGUAACAGAUUCCCUCACAACCUCAUUUUUUGAAAUGAUGAAGAGUGUCGUUGAUGUUGGAGGGAGAUUGUGAAAAUAUCGAUGUUUUUGGGGAGAAAAGAAGGGCCUUGUCUUUGAUCUGAAUCUAAAAUGGUUGUGGAGAAGAACAAGUUGUACAAGUUGUUGUGAGAGUUAUGUGGUUGCAGAUGAAUGAGCUAACUGCAUUUUGGGGAUAUGAAUUUGAGUGUUGUGUUACUAGUUGCUACGGUCACCAUAUAUGAGGGGUUGUUGUUGUUUCUGAGUGUUAUGUUGCUAUUGUAUUAAUUUCUGCAGGAUUGAUGAUUAUGAUGUC